Molecule: ribosomal RNA, 407 nt
Filed under: uncultured bacterium
Lineage: Bacteria
Description: partial 16S ribosomal RNA
Rfam family: Bacterial small subunit ribosomal RNA
Source: RNAcentral
AUUGAACGCUGGCGGCAGGCCUAACACAUGCAAGUCGAGCGGAGCGGCGGACGGGUGAGUAAUGACUAGUAAUCUACCUGGUAGUGGGGGAUAACUUACGGGAGCGGGCGCUAAUACCGCAUACUAGCAGAUGGGCCUCGGUCGGAGUAGCUAGUUGGUGGGGUAAAGGCCUACCAAGGUGACGAUCCGUAACUGGUCUGAGAGGAUGAUCAGUCACACUGGAACUGAGACACGGUCCAGACUCCUACGGGAGGCAGCAGUGGGGAAUAUUGGACAAUGGGCGAAAGCCUGAUCCAGCCAUGCCGCGUGUGUGAAGAAGGUCUUCGGAUUGUAAAGCACUUUAAGUUGGGAGGCGUUACCAACAGAAUAAGCACCGGCUAACUUCGUGCCAGCAGCCGCGGUAAUAC